RNAcentral lists this ribosomal RNA (599 nucleotides) under Escherichia coli 99.1805. Its description in RNAcentral is "partial 23S ribosomal RNA". The record is from RNAcentral. Lineage: Bacteria; Pseudomonadati; Pseudomonadota; Gammaproteobacteria; Enterobacterales; Enterobacteriaceae.
UCUGACGGCAAAUGGCAUUGUCGGAUUACUGGCAACCCGCGGAACAGUUAAACGUUCUUAUACUCAUGAGCUGAUCGCGCGUUUCGCUAAUGAAUGCCAGAUAGAAAUGCUGGGCUCGGCAGAGAUGGUUGAGUUGGCUGAAGCGAAGCUGCAUGGCGAAGAUGUUUCUCUGGAUGCACUAAAACGUAUCCUACGCCCGUGGUUAAGAAUGAAAGAGCCGCCAGAUACCGUUGUAUUGGGUUGCACCCAUUUCCCUCUACUACAAGAAGAACUGUUACAAGUGCUGCCAGAGGGAACCCGGCUGGUGGAUUCUGGCGCAGCGAUUGCUCGCCGAACGGCCUGGUUGUUAGAACAUGAAGCCCCGGAUGCAAAAUCUGCCGAUGCGAAUAUUGCCUUUUGUAUGGCAAUGACGCCAGAAGCUGAACAAUUAUUGCCCGUUUUACAGCGUUACGGCUUCGAAACGCUCGAAAAACUGGCAGUUUUAGGCUGAUUUGGUUGAAUGUUGCGCGGUCGGAAAAUUAUUUUAAAUUUCCUCUUGUCAGGCCGGAAUAACUCCCUAUAAUGCGCCACCACUGACACGGAACAACGGCAAACACGCC